Molecule: transfer RNA, 72 nt
Filed under: Nanobdellota archaeon
Lineage: Archaea; Nanobdellati; Nanobdellota
Description: tRNA-Arg
Rfam family: tRNA
About the family: Transfer RNA (tRNA) molecules are approximately 80 nucleotides in length.
Source: RNAcentral
AGGCCUAUAGUUCAGUGGAUAGAAUAGUCGGCUUCGGACCGAUUGACGGGGGUUCGAUUCCUCCUAGGCCUG